CAGCCGCCGCGGUAAUACCGGCGGCCCGAGUGGCGGUCACUAUUAUUGGGCUUAAAGCGUCCGUAGCCGGGUUGGGAAGUCCUCCGGGAAAUCUGGCCGCUUAACGGUCAGAAUGCCGGAGGAUACUCCCAGCCUAGGGAGCGGGAGAGGCCGAGGGGAUUCCCGGAGGAGGGGGGGAAUCCUAUAAUCCCGGGAGGACCACCUGUUGGGAAGGCGCUCGGCUGGAACGCGUCCGACGGUGAGGGACGAAGGCCAGGGGAGCAAACCGGAUUAGAUACCCGGGUAGUCCUGGCUGUAAACGAUGCGGACUUUGUGUCGGACAAGCUAUGAGCUUGUCCGGUGCCGGAGGGAAACCGUUAAGUCCGCCGCCUGGGGAGUACGGCCGCAAGGCUGAAACUUAAAGGAAUUGGCGGG
This 414-nucleotide ribosomal RNA is filed under the name uncultured microorganism. Its description in RNAcentral is "bacterial SSU rRNA". It matches the Rfam family "Archaeal small subunit ribosomal RNA", at positions 459 to 872 of the family's 1478-position model. The record is from RNAcentral.